RNAcentral lists this transfer RNA (74 nucleotides) under Xanthomonas phage XbC2. Its description in RNAcentral is "tRNA-Pyl". It matches the Rfam family "tRNA". From Rfam's summary of the family: Transfer RNA (tRNA) molecules are approximately 80 nucleotides in length. Their secondary structure includes four short double-helical elements and three loops (D, anti-codon, and T loops). Lineage: Duplodnaviria; Heunggongvirae; Uroviricota; Caudoviricetes. The record is from RNAcentral.
GGCUCAUUAGCUGAGAGGCGUAGCGGGAGACUCUAAAUCUCUGUCCACACCAGUUCGAAUCUGGUAUGAGCCAC